GCACCCUCAAGCCAGGCUUGGUGUUGGGCCGCGUCUCCGGACGGGUCCGAAUCGCAGUGGCGGUCCGGUCGCGACUUCAAGUGCAGUAGCUUACACACAUCGCUUGAAAGGCGCGCCGGGCCCGCCAGUCAACCCUGUCGUCUCAACCG
RNAcentral lists this unclassified non-coding RNA (149 nucleotides) under Pseudocyphellaria argyracea. Its description in RNAcentral is "ITS2". The record is from RNAcentral. Lineage: Eukaryota; Fungi; Ascomycota; Lecanoromycetes; Peltigerales; Lobariaceae.